AAACGGGGUAGGCGUAAUACCGAAUACGAUCCUUCCACCGCAUGGAGGGGGGAGUGAAAGAUGGCCUCUAUAUAUAAGCUAUCGCUGAAGGAUGAGCCUGCGUCUGAUUAGCUUGUUGGUGGGGUAACGGCCUACCAAGGCGAUGAUCAGUAGCCGGUCUGAGAGGAUGAACGGCCACAUUGGGACUGAGACACGGCCCAAACUCCUACGGGAGGCAGCAGUGGGGAAUAUUCCGCAAUGGACGAAAGUCUGACGGAGCAACGCCGCGUGAGUGAUGAAGGUUUUCGGACUGUAAAGCUCUGUUGUUUGGGACGAAAGUGCCUGUUGCGAACAGUUACGGGUAUUGACGGUACUAAACGAGGAAGCCACGGCUAACUACGUGCCAGCCGCCGC
This 393-nucleotide ribosomal RNA is filed under the name uncultured bacterium. RNAcentral describes it as "bacterial SSU rRNA". It matches the Rfam family "Bacterial small subunit ribosomal RNA", at positions 154 to 518 of the family's 1533-position model. The record is from RNAcentral.